GACGAACCGUGCAAACGUUGUUCGGAAUCACUGGGCUUAAAGGGCGCGUAGGCGGCAGACCAAGUCCGGGGUGAAAUCUUUCGGCUUAACCGGAAAAGGGCCUUGGAUACUGGUUUGCUAGAGGGAGGUAGGGGUCUGUGGAACUUCUGGUGGAGCGGUGAAAUGCGUUGAUAUCAGAAGGAACGCCGGUGGCGAAAGCGACGGACUGGAUCUCUUCUGACGCUGAGGCGCGAAAGCGUGGGGAGCAAACAGG
This 253-nucleotide ribosomal RNA is filed under the name uncultured bacterium. RNAcentral's name for it is "partial 16S ribosomal RNA". It matches the Rfam family "Bacterial small subunit ribosomal RNA", at positions 524 to 776 of the family's 1533-position model. The record is from RNAcentral.